This 1295-nucleotide ribosomal RNA is filed under the name Staphylococcus aureus. RNAcentral's name for it is "partial 23S ribosomal RNA". It matches the Rfam family "Bacterial large subunit ribosomal RNA", at positions 513 to 1812 of the family's 2925-position model. The record is from RNAcentral. Lineage: Bacteria; Bacillati; Bacillota; Bacilli; Caryophanales; Staphylococcaceae.
GGUGAAAAGCACCCCGGAAGGGGAGUGAAAUAGAACCUGAAACCGUGUGCUUACAAGUAGUCAGAGCCCGUUAAUGGGUGAUGGCGUGCCUUUUGUAGAAUGAACCGGCGAGUUACGAUUUGAUGCAAGGUUAAGCAGUAAAUGUGGAGCCGUAGCGAAAGCGAGUCUGAAUAGGGCGUUUAGUAUUUGGUCGUAGACCCGAAACCAGGUGAUCUACCCUUGGUCAGGUUGAAGUUCAGGUAACACUGAAUGGAGGACCGAACCGACUUACGUUGAAAAGUGAGCGGAUGAACUGAGGGUAGCGGAGAAAUUCCAAUCGAACCUGGAGAUAGCUGGUUCUCUCCGAAAUAGCUUUAGGGCUAGCCUCAAGUGAUGAUUAUUGGAGGUAGAGCACUGUUUGGACGAGGGGCCCCUCUCGGGUUACCGAAUUCAGACAAACUCCGAAUGCCAAUUAAUUUAACUUGGGAGUCAGAACAUGGGUGAUAAGGUCCGUGUUCGAAAGGGAAACAGCCCAGACCACCAGCUAAGGUCCCAAAAUAUAUGUUAAGUGGAAAAGGAUGUGGCGUUGCCCAGACAACUAGGAUGUUGGCUUAGAAGCAGCCAUCAUUUAAAGAGUGCGUAAUAGCUCACUAGUCGAGUGACACUGCGCCGAAAAUGUACCGGGGCUAAACAUAUUACCGAAGCUGUGGAUUGUCCUUUGGACAAUGGUAGGAGAGCGUUCUAAGGGCGUUGAAGCAUGAUCGUAAGGACAUGUGGAGCGCUUAGAAGUGAGAAUGCCGGUGUGAGUAGCGAAAGACGGGUGAGAAUCCCGUCCACCGAUUGACUAAGGUUUCCAGAGGAAGGCUCGUCCGCUCUGGGUUAGUCGGGUCCUAAGCUGAGGCCGACAGGCGUAGGCGAUGGAUAACAGGUUGAUAUUCCUGUACCACCUAUAAUCGUUUUAAUCGAUGGGGGGACGCAGUAGGAUAGGCGAAGCGUGCGAUUGGAUUGCACGUCUAAGCAGUAAGGCUGAGUAUUAGGCAAAUCCGGUACUCAUUAAGGCUGAGCUGUGAUGGGGAGAAGACAUUGUGUCUUCGAGUCGUUGAUUUCACACUGCCGAGAAAAGCCUCUAGAUAGAAAAUAGGUGCCCGUACCGCAAACCGACACAGGUAGUCAAGAUGAGAAUUCUAAGGUGAGCGAGCGAACUCUCGUUAAGGAACUCGGCAAAAUGACCCCGUAACUUCGGGAGAAGGGGUGCUCUUUAGGGUUAACGCCCAGAAGAGCCGCAGUGAAUAGGCCCAAGCGACUGUUUAUCAAAA